UUAAACCUUCUUUAAGACAUGUCACUCAAAUGACAAUCUUGGAGUAUGACUCUAAGACUUGUAUUGGAACGAAGUAUGACUCAUCUUCUUGAUUUAACCAUUUCAACAAUUCAAGUUCCUCUUCUUAGUCAUAAGAAUGCACUAAGAUUUCCUUAGAGAACUAAUUUUGAUAUGGUUUCUUAAUCAUUAAGAUGAUCACAAAACUGAUACUAAAGUACUCUCCCAUCUUUUCAGAUUUGAGAAACUUUUAUCCUUCUGCCUUAUUUGAUUCUUCUUAUCGAUCUUUAGUGGUGGACUUAAUCAGUGCACAAGAAUGUGUACUCGAUCCCUAAGUCCUUUACUUGACUCACACAUCCAUGUGAACAAGUAAUUAGUCUUAAUUUUCCAAAACUUGAAAGUUCUCAUUCAUCAUGCUAUACAACUUGCAUGAUUCCAAGUUCCGGUCCAAUUGAAACUUGGGUGAUGAGAAUCUUUCCUUAUUUGGUAAAUUUAGACAUUACCACAAAUGAAAGAAUCAAUUUCAUACUUCCACUCUUGCUACUAAUGGAAUCUUAUAAGCAACAAAAAUUUCCACAGAUGCCAUUGUAAGGAUAUUUUAAAAUAAAUAAAAUCAAAAAUUUCCUUUUAUUUUAAAACUUUGCGGAAAAACUAUCCUUACAAUCCAUAUGAAAACUUGUUGUUAUCUAUUCCUAAGCAAUAUCUCAUAACUCCUAAGAAGUAGCUCAAGAAUCCGAUUUUUCAAACUAUGCGAUAGAAAUCCAUCUAUGCGAUCAGAUUCAGCAUAUUCUUCCUUUAAGUUUCUUCACUUUCCUUUGAUUCUUAAACCAUCACCAUGCGACCCGGUCACAUCAUGUAUCAAGAAUCUCAGAAUAGAAACUUAACAGAGUUAGAUAGUGGAUUUUACCUGAAGUAGAGUCAAACUUAUUGACUUUAACAUCCUUAGGUAAAUUUGGCAGCUUCGCAACCAAUGCCCUUUCUUUGGCAAUACAAACAUAUGGACCCUUUGAUAAUGGUACACAGGACUAUCACAGACUUAGCUUUUCUCUUUACCAUUUGGUCAACCGAGUUGACUAUAGCCGAUCCCUUUCCAUUGGGAAGAGAAUGCUUUACUGGAUAUCCAAUGUCAUCAUUGUCAAUGUCCAUAAAGUUUUAGGAAGUUGAUCUUAGCAAAUAGAUAAGAUCAUUAAGGGUCUUGUCAUAGUCUGUUUCAUAGGUGUCCCAAAGGAACUCACUAUGUGACUUAGAAAGUGGUUGAACCACCAACUUUCUCAAGACUUUGACACCCAACUCUCCCGGCUUGUCAAUAUGUGACUACAUCUCCAAGAUGUGACCACACCUAGACCUUGCCUUGCCAAUAGGGCCUGAGUGACCUUAAACUUUUCAAGAACUUGUGGGUUAGGGAGAAUAAUUUGAAGAGGUGAAGAAGUAUGAUAUCCAUGGGACAUCAUCUUCAUUAGGAAACCUUGUUUCAAGAGAUUUGGGAAGAUCAUAGGUGUCUAAACCAGACAUCUUUUGGGAGAUAUUCAAGAUAGUUGAUUUAAAGUCCUUAAUAUGACACCCAAUAUGAAAUAUUAAGGCUAGGACCCAACAAACUAUUUUAUAACUUAGAAGAGGUAUGCCGUAAUCCAAGCUAUAAAAUAUUUGAAGGUAGGUGAAUGACGAUUCACCAAUUUCCACCAAGAUAAACGAAAUGUAUUAUUAGGUUUUAAUUGGUUUUGAAACUCCUAGAUCUUUGAGAUUCAUUGAACUUUUCAAAGGCAUGUUUCAAUCUCGAGUGUGCCCUUCAGGUUUUGUGACUGGGAUGCCGAGGAUCACAAAACAAGGUGUGAAGUAACCAUGCAAAUCACUUGGUACCCUUAAUAAAUUACCCCUCAAUCGAUGUGCCGGUUAACCACACACGCUCCAUCGAUACUAUGAUAAAUAUUAAGUCACCCUUUACCUACCUUGUUAAGUCCAAGUUAGUGUGCCGGUUAACCACACACGCUCCACUAACGACUUAGACAAAGUGUAAAGUGUAAUUUCAUGGAUUAGCACCUUAUUCACAUUUUUCCUAAGUAACUAAGAUUGGGUAUUAUUAAGAGUUUAGUUACUUAGUAUUAUCAUUAAUACUUUUAAUGAAGGGAGAAUUCUAGUCCUGUCAAACCCGUUCGGCUAACGACCCUCCACCAGUCAAGCAAGCGGUGGGUGAGAGUGGACACCCAUUAAGUUGCCAUUUUAUAGGCAACAACCUUAUACCCACCUUAUAGACCGGCUUCGUGAAUGAGGCGUACUAGCGGUAAGACUGACUUUACUCUUAUACAUAUAUAUAUUAUUAACUUAUAAUAUUAUAAAGUAUAAGGGUUGAAUUUUAACUUUUAAAAUUCUAAGGGCUAACUUGGAAUUAAAGUAUUCAUAAGUGAAAACUUUACAAAUUCCAAAACUUGAGGGCAAGUUUUGAAACUAUUCAAAACUAAUUAAUUCCAUAACUUAUGUGUUUAAAGUAGUUUUAAUCCAAAAACUCUUCAAGUUCCAUAACUUGAGGACAAGUUAUGGAAGACUUUAAACUAAUAAAAGAAUUAACUUUUCUUUAUUUUAUAACUUAUGGAAUUAAUUAAGGUUACACCUUUUUUUAUUUUAUUUUAUUUUAUUAAAUGAAGAGACUCUUGGUCCUCCAUAACUUGAGGACAAGUUAUGGAGUCAUAAAACCAUUUAAUUAGAACUAGACUCUUCAUUUUUGUAACCUUUGCCAAUUUUUAUGAGUUUUAUGAUUCUUAAAUGUGACUUUUCAUAUAACUUGAGGACAAGUUACAAAAACACAUUUUAGAAUCAAUUCUUAGAUUAAUUUGGAUUAAAACCAACUAUCACAUAAUUUUAUUCAUUAAUCUAAAUUCACUCAUAAAACAAGGUAACACAAAAAACUUUUGGUGAUCCAUAACUUAUUCUUAAGUUAUGGAAUCCUUUAAAACAUUAACACCAAAUUUUGUAACUCCAAAAAAACUUUGAAUUAAUUUUUUUUUUAAAACCUUUUCAUAUCCAUAACUUAUGGAGGUUUCAAAAAAUAAAACUCUUUAGAUCAAACUUUUAAAACUAAUAAAAUAAUCAUAUUAUUUUAUCUUUUAUUAAAUUUGACCUAAUUCAACUCAUAAAGCAAAUUAUUCAAAUUUUACAAAUAAUUAGUUUUUCACAAGAACAAGUAAUUAUCUUAAAAUUUGACGAACUUCAUGUUUUUUUUUUUUUUUUUUUUCAACUUUGAAAAUAAAAUAUUUGCAUCAAUAUAACAGAAAACAACCCGUGGCUCUGAUACCACUGUUGGGUUUUGAGCAUUCUAACACUUCCUAAGUGUACAUGCAACCCUAAAUACCUUGGAUCUAUGUUUUCUCUAUUAUACAUGCAAAUAAGAACUUCCAAGGUAUUAUUCUAAUCUAGCAUACAAAACAAUAACUAUAGCAAGAUAGAAUACAUACCUCUUUGGUGUAGACAAUCUUCAUGUAGCUUGAGUGCCUAGUGCCCCAAGUGUGACACCUCAAAUGGAAUCACAAUCAUCAAAACACUUGGAAUGACUUGAGAGAAUUCUACACUCUUCAAAAUCGGCUAGCCCUUUCUUCACUAUCUCUAGUGGCCGAUUUUUCCUCAAUAAUAAGAUGCUUAUAUAGUUACACAAUUAGGGUAAACUCUUAAUUGUCAUGGCUUUCCAUUUCCUUGGAUCCAUGGGUACAAAUACACCAUGGAGCAUCCAUGGACCAUCCUAUGGGUUUUAGCCCAACUUGAUUAUCCAUGGAGCAUUAGCCCACUAUACAAGUAUGGAUGAUUUACACAAUCAACCCAUAUAUUUAAUUAGUCUUCUUUUGAUCACUUAAUUAAUCCUAGAUUAAUUCUUGAUCAAUACUAAUUAAAUAAUCUUAUUAUUCUUAUUAUUAAUAUACUAGAACUUAUAAUAUAUUAAUAACCAUAAGUGUCUUAUUUCUCUCAUUCAAGUGCAUGAUGGUAUGCAACCCAAAUGGACCAUGCCGGGUCGGGUCAAGUCUUACCAAUUAUAGUUAUGGACUUAGACAUUAAUCCAACAAAAACAACACGCCGUGGUCAAAAAACAUUUCUCGAUCUGAAAAGAAAAGUUACGACACCACGAUAUAACAAGAAGCUCAUGACGUGGUGACUGACGAAAAGCCAAAAAUAGAGCUUAAAGCCUUACCCGAGCACCUGGAGUAUGCAUUCUUCAAAGAUGGGCAACAAAAACCAGUACUUAUAGCAUUUAAUCUAGCUAAACAUGAAAAAGAAAGCCUUGUGGGAGUACUAAAGAAAAGACAAGGUGCAUUAGCAUGGAAGAUAAUCGAUAUCAAGGGAAUUAGCCCAGCCUAUUGUUCUCAUAAUAUCAACCUAGAAGAAGGAGCUCAACCCAUAGUUCAACGCCAAAGAAGACUUAUCCCAAAUAUGCAAGAAGUGGUUAAAAAGGAGGUGGCUAAACUUUUAGAUGAUGAUAUCAUUUACUUAAUCUCUGAUAGCCCAUGUGUAAGUCUGGUGCAAGUGGUACUGAAGAAAGGAGGAACGAUAGUGUUUACCAAUUAAGAUAACGAGUUAAUCCCAACAAGAACAGUAACCGAGUGGCGUGUUUGCAUCAACUAUCGAAAGCUUAAUGAUGUUACAUGCAAGGAUCACUUUCUGCUACCAUUUAUUGACUAAAUGCUCGAAAGACUUUCGGUCAUCUUUACUAUUGUUUUCUUGAUGGUUUCUCGGGGUACUUCCAAAUUCCAGUUGAUCCACAAGACCAAGAAAUACCACUUUUACAUGCCAGAGUGGGACGCUUGCAUACAGACGCAUGCCUUUUGGGCUAUGCAUUGCAUUGCCUACAUUCCAAAGGUGCAUGAUGGCUAUCUUCCACAACAUGAUCGAGAAAUUUAUGGAAGUUUUCAUGGAUGACUUCUUGGUUUUUGGGUCCUCUUUUGAAGAUUGUUUAUCAAACUUACACCUAAUGUUAGCAAGAUGUGAGAAGACAAAUCUAGUCCUAAACUGGGAAAAGUGUCACUUCAUGGUAAAGGAAGGGAUUGGGUUAGGACACAAAGUCUCAAGGUUGGGGAUAGAGGUAGAUAGAGCAAAAGUUGACAAGAUAGCUACAUUACCACCCCCAACAAAUGUAAAAGGGGUAAGGAGCUUUCUUAGCCAAGCGGGAUUUUAUCAUCGUUUCAUUAAGACUUUUCGAAGAUCAUGAGGCCUUUCACUCAACUUCUUUUAAAGGAUGCCCCAUUCAACUUUUCUAAGGAAUGUCAUGAAGCAUUUCAAAUGUUAAAGGAAAAGUUGAGCACUACUCCUAUUAUGAUAGCACCAAAUUGGAGCCACCCUUUCGAGCUUAUGUGUGAUUCUAGCAAUUAUGUCGUGGGAGUUGUUUUGAACCAAAUAAUUGACAAACAUUGUCAGCCUAUUUAUUAUGCUAGCAAAACCUUGAACCCAACUCAAGAGAAUUACACCACUACCGAGAAGGAGCUGCUCACGGUGGUUUAUGCUUUUGAUAAAUUUCGCCCAUAUCUAUUCUUGUCAAAGACAAUUGUAUUUACCUACCAUACAACCCUAAAGUAUCCCUUUGCUAAACAAGAUGCUAAACCAAGAUUAAUAUGUUGGGUAUUACUUUUACAAGAAUUUGACAUUGAGAUUAGAGACAAAAAGGGAAUGGAAAACGUAGCAACGAAUCACUUAUCGCGACUAGUGAACCUACACUUGGAAGAAUUAUAAGAAAACAAGAUUGGAGAUGAUUUUCCCGAAGAGUAUCUUAUGGUUAUAGCAGGAGAAAUACCUUCGUAUGCAGAUUUAGCCAACUAUUUAGCAAGUGACUAUAUUCCAAAAGAUUUGACGAGAUAAAAAAAGAAGAAAUCCUAUUCUGAAAUUAAGUAUUACUUUUGGGAUGAGCCAUACCUAUUUCGAAGCUACGCGGACGGUAUGAUAAGAAGAUGUGUAUUCGGGAAGGAGAGUCGAGAAAUCUUGAACCAUUGUCAUAACUGAUGGGUUUUAGCCAUAAGAACUUUCCUAUGUGCGCAUGCAAAACCCUAAUGCUUGGAUCUAGGCUUUCUAAUUAAACAUGCUUUGAAUCCAAGACUUCUAAUGACUAAUUAGGUUAAAUAACAACAUUGAAACAGAUUUAGAACCAUACCUUUGAAUUCCUUGUUGAUCUUGUAGUCUUGGAGCUUCUAGAGUCACAAAUGUCACUCCUCUAAUGGCUUACAAACACCAAUAGCAAGGAAGAUGAUUUGGGAGAGAGGAGAGGGGAGGAAUUUCGGCCAGAGGUUCUCUAUUCUAGAUGGAGUGCCGAAUUCCCUCAGCCUUGGGGUCUAUUUAUACUUGUAGACUCCUUAAGGGUUACAACCUAAACCCUAUUGGAUAAUCUUCUCUUAAGGCUAUCCAAAUCCUUUCCUUAGAUAACACCAUGGACGAUUUUGAAGCUAUCUAGCUUUUAGAAUCCGUCCCUUGUAUAUCUAUAAGGAUUUACAGUCUAAAGCUUAACUAUCAAACAAUUGACAGUUUAUACCCCUUUAUUUAAUUAAUCUCUUUAAGUCACCAAAUUAAUUCUAAUUAAUUCUAUGACUUAUAUUAAUCAAAUAACAAAUAUAUUAUUCAUUAUAUUAUUCUCAUAAUAUAUUAAUAAUAUUUACUCUCUCUUAAUAAAUCAUCCUAUCAAGUUGCUAUGGUGAAGGCAACCCAAAAGGACCAUGCACAACCGGAUCAAAUACUUGCCUAAUAUAGUUACAGCCUUAGACACUAUUCCAACAGUCUCCCACUUGGAUAAGUCUAGUAACUAUACAAGUACAAUUCGGUUUGCAAUCGUAGCUCUCAAAGACGCUGUCAACUCUGAUCUAAUCAAUCUUGUCCUUUAGAUAAGGGAACGUACAGUCCUCUGUUAGAUAUCAUGCUGACAAUCCUAUGGAAUGGUUAGUCAAGCAUUUAGGUUUCUCGAUCUCUGAUUUAUUUGACAUAGAACUUAAUCGAACACAUCAAUUCAGUUCUGACCGGGCCCGGCACAUAAGUCAAAUCAAAUCAUCGAGCGGCCGAGAUAUCGCUUUUACCUUCUUAGAUAAAAGUUACAGAUAAACUUCGACUUAUAUGCAUUUACUUAUUCAUUUACCAACUAUACACAACAAUACGUUUUAUAACACCAAGUUACUGAUGCGUUUUCGUAUUAUCAAUGUACAAUCAAUUAACAAAUAAUAAACCAUAUAUCUAGGUUUUAAGACUAUAUGAUAUUAUCGUCUUGCGAUCACCUUUUAUAUCGUAUUCCAUAAGGUGAUUCCAGCAAGCGCGGGUUUAUUCCAAUGCUCAAAACUAGUUCAUAAGCACUCAUGAACGUUGCAGCAAUCCUUUGCUAUGUCUAACACCAUUUAGACAUUCUACACACCAAUUCAUGACAAUCUUCAUUCAUAUCUACUCCCAACAUAUGAACGAUUGUGGACCAUUUGAACAAUUCGAUUAUUCCUAAUAAACUCAAUUAUUCUGGAAGUCAAAACAUGCAAAGUGAAACAAUAGCUAAACAAUUAACAUAAGAUAGUAACAUUACUCAUAAAUAAAACUCCUUUAUUUAAUCAUCAAAUGUUAAUUACAUUUAUCUAUUACACGUUUCUAAUACUAUCUAAUCUAUGCUAAUAUCAUCCUUCAGCCCAAUACUCCUAGCAUGCUGCAAGUGCUUAACCCUACUCAGUCCCUUCGUAAGCGGAUCUGCUGGGUUAUCUUCUGAUGAUAUCCUCUUCACUACGAGUUGUCCUUCUUCUACACGAUGUCUAAUGAAGUGAUACUUUCUGUCGAUAUGUCUUGAUCUACCAUGAUCCCUCGGUUCCUUGGUUAAGGCAACCGCGCCUUCGUUAUCACAGAAAAUCUCCAUUGGCUCCUUUAUGGCAGGUACAACUCCAAGAUCACCGAUGAAGUUCUUUAGCCAUAUUGCCUCCUUCGACGCUUCGCUCGCUGCAAUGUACUCUGAUUCGCACGUUGAAUCAGCUACGGUUUCCUGCUUGGAACUCUUCCAUGUCACUGCUCCUCCAUUUAGGGUAAAGACCCAGCCCGACUGCGAACGGUAGUUGUCCCUGUCGGUCUGAAAACUGGCGUCACUAUACCCUCGCACCUUCAAGUCAUCACUCCCUCCGAGGACUAAGAACCAUUCCUUCGUCCUCCGAAGGUACUUAAGGAUAUUCUUCACCGCAAUCCAAUGUGCUUUGCCAGGAUUCCCUUGAUAUCUGCUAACCAUGCUCAAAGCGAAGGCUACAUCAGGGCGAGUACAAGUCAUAGCGUACAUGAUUGAGCCAACUGCGGAAGCGUAUGGUACUCGGCUCAUUUCUGCUAUCUCAGCUUCGGUACUCGGACUUUGAGUCUUACUCAAUUUGGCAUUACUUUGUAUCGGUAGUUCUCCCUUCUUUGAGUUUUCCAUACUAAAACGUUUUAGUACCUUCUCUAAGUAAGUAUUCUGACUAAGUCCAAUUAGUCUCUUACUUCUUUCUCUUACUAUCCUUAUUCCCAAAAUGUAAGAAGCCUCUCCGAGGUCCUUCAUAGCGAAGCACUUCCCGAGCCAGGACUUAACCUCCUGCAGAGUCGGGAUGUCGUUUCCUAUGAGUAAUAUGUCAUCGACAUAUAGAACGAGGAAGCUUACUAUACUCCCACUGGCUUUGACAUAUACACAAGAUUCGUCUUCGCUUCGUACAAAUCCAAACUCUUUGACUUUCUCAUCGAAGCAAAGAUUCCAUCUGCGAGACGCUUGCUUAAGUCCAUAAAUGGACUUCUCAAGCUUACACACUCUAUCCGGAUGCUUCGGAUCCACAAACCCCUCUGGCUGAGCCAUGUAAACAUCCUCAGCCAACUUUCCGUUAAGGAAAGCGGUCUUGACAUCCAUUUGCCAAAUCUCAUAAUCAUGAAAUGCGGCAAUAGCUAGCAUCACUCUAAUAGAUUUAAUCUUCGCAACUGGUGAGAAGGUCUCAUCAUAGUCAACUCCGGGAGUUUGAGUAAAGCCCUUCGCAACCAAUCGCGCUUUAUAUGUGUGUACGUUUCCAUCCACGUCGGUCUUCUUCUUGAAGAUCCAUUUGCACCCAACGGUCUUACGUCCGGGCACAUAAUCAACCAAAUUCCAAACUUGGUUAUCAUACAUGGAUUGGAUCUCGCUAUCCAUUGCCUCUUUCCAUUUUGCAGACUCCGGGCCUGCCAUGGCUUCCUUAUAGCUAUUAGGUUCAUCAAGAUUUACUAGUGUACCAUCACUAAUAUACGUGUCCCCUUCGGUAGUAAUAUGAAAGCCAUAAAACUGGGGAUGAACUCUAACUCUAUCGGAACGUCUAAGAGGUAAGGAUUCGUCAAUCGGUUCAACCGGAGUUUCCUCCUCGGGUUGAGUGCCAGCGGUAGAGGUUCCUUCAUCUAUCGACUCUUGAAUCUCUUCAAGUUCGAUUUGCCUCCCACUGUCUCCUUGGCUUAUGAGUUCUCGCUCUCGGAAAACUCCUCUCCUCGCAACGAAGACAACAUUGUCCUUCGGUCUAUAGAAGAGAUAUCCAAAGGAUGUCUGCGGGUAGCCGAUGAAAAUACAUCGCUCACUUCGAGGUUCAAGCUUGUCGUGAGUAUCUCGUCUUACGAAAGCCUCGCAACCCCAAACCUUGAUAUGUGCCAACGAGGGAGCUUUCCCUGUCCACAUCUCGUGAGGUGUUUUGGCAACCUUCUUAGUAGGGACUCGGUUAAGGAUAUGGGCGGCAGUCUCUAAGGCAUACCCCCAAAAAGAGAUUGGUAGUGAAGCACGACUCAUCAUAGAGCGAACCAUAUCCAAUAAGGUUCGAUUACGCCUUUCUGCCACACCAUUCAACUGCGGUGUCCUAGGAGGCGUCAAUUGUGAAACUAUUCCACACUCCUUGAGAUAAUCGUGGAAUUCAAGACUUAGGUACUCUCCUCCUCGAUCGGAUCGAAGCAUCUUGAUUUUCCUGCCCAAUUGAUUCUCCACUUCAUUCUUGAACUCUUUGAACUUUUCAAAGGUGUCUGACUUUUGCUUGAUUAAGUAGAUAUACCCAUAUCUACUAUAGUCAUCGGUAAAAGUCACAUAGAAGCGGUUCCCAUCCUUCGUGGUUGAUCUAAACGGUCCACAUACAUCGGUAUGUAUUAGGUCCAAUAGACCCUCGCCCCUUUCACAUGUACUCGUGAAGGGUGACUUAGUCAUCUUUCCAAGCAAACAAGACUCGCAUGUGUCAUCUUCCCUAAGGUCGAAUGACUCCAACACUCCAUCCUUUUGGAGUUGGGCUAUGCGUUUCUUGUUGACAUGUCCAAGACGACAAUGCCACAAGGAUGCUUUAUCCAUACUAGUGGAAGAAUCAAUAUUCAAAACAUCAUUUCCUAAGUUAUCAACAAUCAUAACGGUUUCAUAUAUUCCAUUACAUGGUAUAGCUUCAAAGUAAAAGACACCAUUUAGAUAAGCCAAAAUAGAACCAUUCUCAUUAUUAAAAGAAAAUCUAAAUCCUUGUCUAUAUAAACCAUGAAAUGAAAUGAUGUUUCUUGCCAUUUCUGGCGAAUAGCAACAAUUGUUCAAAUCUAAAACUAAACUAUUCCUAAGCACUAAGGAAUACACUCCAAUCUUGGUCACAGGCGACGAUCUUCUGUUCCCCAUGAUUAGAUUGAUCCUUCCUUGCUCCACAUCCCUACUUCUUCUUAGUCCCUGCACAUUAGAACAAAUGUGAUAACCACAACCGGUAUCAAGAACCCAAGAAAUAGCAUGAUUAGAAUCGUUAGAUUUGAUUGUAUAUAUACCUGCGAAAGAUGGCUUGAUCUUUCCUUCUUUGAUUGCUUGCAGGUAAUCCGGGCAGCUUCUCUUCCAAUGUCCUAUCUUGUGGCAGUGGUGGCACUCUGCCUCCUUCGGGUUAGAGCAGGGCUUAGCGGGAUCAACUUUGGUCCCACUAGAAGAGGCACCAUCUCGGGCUUUCACCUUGCGAUAGUUCUUCGAUGAAGCUUUCCUCUUCUUUCCCUUCCCUUGUCCAAUAGCCAAGACAGGAGCAGCGGGCGGAUUGGGAGUAGGUGCAACAGACUUGUCUUUGAAGUUGCUCUCAGCAACCCUCAAGAGACCUUGGAGCUUGCUUAGGGUGACCUCUUCUUUGUUCAUGUGGUAGGUCAUCCUAAAUUGAUUGUACAUCGGAGGCAAAGAGUGAAGCACCAUGUCGAUCGCCAAAUCCUCACCGAAGUCAACAUUUAACUUGCGAAGGCGGUCGACAUACCUUUGCAUCUUUUGCAAGUGCACGGUAAGAGAUUCUCCAUGACCCAUCUUCGCGGAAAUCAUGUUAGUGAAAAUCUCGUACCUCUCUUGUCUCGCGUUUUGGUGGUACCUCUCCAAUAAGUCUUGGUGCAUCUCGUACGGGUACAUGUCCUCGUAGGACUUUUGGAAUUCGGAGUUCAUGGUGGCAAUCAUGAUGCAAUGUACCUUCGUUGCAUCUCGCUCAUGAGUCUCAAAAGCGGUGAUUUCGGCCGGAGUAGCGAUUUCGGGGUUGAUUUUCUCGAGCUUCUCAUCGAGGACAUACUCCUUAUCCUCAUAGCGAGCAAUGGUGCGAAUGUAUCUUAUCCAUUCGCUAAAGUUCGUUCCAUCGAAGGUGACCUUUUGGCAAAGGCUCAUCAACGUGAAAGAACUAGCAGCAGCGUUGUUUGCGUUCGACAUCUACAAUUAGAAAAGGACAAAGAUAGAUUAGAAUAAGAAUCCCUAAUUAUCACCCAAUAAGAAAAUUAGGGCUAGGAUCCAACAAUAACAUUUACAUACUAGAAAAGGGAUGCCGUAAUCUAACAUGCAAAUAAAUUGAAGGUAAGUGAAUGACGAUUCACUAAUUCUCCAUCACAAAACUUAAACUAUUAGUCCUAAGUGUUUUUGAGAAUUCCUAGGUUCGGAUGAGAUUCAUUGAAACUAUUCAAUGGCAUGUUUAAAUCUCGAUAUGCCCCUCUUGUUUGUGACUGGGAUGCCGAGGAUCACAAAGCGGGUGUGAAUUACCAUGCAAAUUCACAUGGUGCCUUCAUUGUAACGAUCACCUAUUCGAUGUGCCGGUAAACCACACACGCUCCAUCGAACUAUGAUAAACAAUGAAUCACCCUUUGCCACCUUCGCUUAGAACCAAUUAGUGUGCCGGUAAACCACACACGCUCCACUAACAUCUUAGCAAGGUGCAAAGUGUAAUUUCAUGGGAUUGCAUCAAUUCACUUUUCCUAAAGUAACUAAGAUUGGGAAAUUUUAAAAUAUGUGUAGUUACUUUGUAUUUCUUAUUAUACUUUUAAUGAGAGGAUGAGGUUGCCCUAUCCUACCCGUUCGGCUAACGACCCUCCACCAAUCAAGCAAGCGGUGGGUGUGAGUGUACACCCAUUAAGCGCCAUUUUAUAGGCCGCAACCUUAUACCCACCUUAUAGAUCGGCUUCGUGAAUGAGGCCUACUAACGGUAAGACUAGCAUUUAGUUAUAUAUAUAUAUAUAUAUUAUUCUAGUAAUAUCAUAUUAGUAUAGGGUUGUAUUUUAAAACUUUUAAAAUCUAGGGUUUGAAAUUUAAGUUGUCUAAAUUAAAACUUUUAAUCACAAAUAUAAAUUUCAAAACUUGAGGGCAAGUUUUAAACAUUUAAAACAUGGAGGAUCAAAUAACAAAUAAUUCCAAUUAACAAUUAAUAUCCUAAUUAUCUAUAUUUGAUUUUAUUCAAGAUUUCUUUGAAAGAUAAUUACCAAAAUAAUUAAAAUAAUUAAUUAAUUAUCAUAUAAGGAAAUUAAAUAUUUUAUUAGUUGAUAAAUACCUUUAACUAGAUCAAGAUAAUAGUCAUAUAUAUCAAAAAAUCGGAUUUAGAUUGAUCUAUUAUGAUUAAGGUAAGUUUCCAUAAGAUAAUUAUGAAAAAAUCCCGAAUCUGGCCAUUCCUGACGCCUGGACUCGCCGAGUGCACAAAGGGACUCGCCGAGUCAGGCCUACUCGCCGAGUCCACUUUGGAACUCGCCGAGUCCAUGACUCAGAAACCAAAAAAUCGAAUUUUGCAGGUUUGUUUCAGUUAAUCAAGCAACAAUUUAAAGAAAACCAAGCUAGGCUCUGAUACAACUGAUGGGUUUUAGCCAUAAGAACUUUCCUAUGUGCGCAUGCAAAACCCUAAUGCUUGGAUCUAGGCUUUCUAAUUAAACAUGCUUUGAAUCCAAGACUUCUAAUGACUAAUUAGGUUAAAUAACAACAUUGAAACAGAUCUAGAAUCAUACCUUUGAGUUCCUUGUUGAUCUUGUGGUCUUGGAGCUUCUAGAGUCACAAAUGUCACUCCUCUAAUGGCUUACAAACACCAAUAGCAAGGAAGAUGAUUUGGGAGAGAGGAGAGGGGAGGAAUUUCGGCCAGAGGUUCUCUAUUCUAGAUGGAGUGUCGAAUUCCCUCAGCCUUGGGGUCUAUUUAUACUUGUAGACUCCUUAAGGGUUAUAACCUAAACCCUAUUGGAUAAUCUUCUCUUAAGGCUAUCCAAAUCCUUUCCUUAGAUAACACCAUGGACGAUUUUGAAGCUAUCUAGCUUCUAGAUUCUGUCCCUUGUAUAUCUAUAAGGAUUUACAGUCUAAAGCUUAACUAUCAAACAAUUGACAGUUUAUACCCCUUUAUUUAAUUAAUCUCUUUAAGUCACCAAAUUAAUUCCAAUUAAUUCUAUGACUUAUAUUAAUCAAAUAACAAUAUAUUAUUCUUUAUAUUAUUCUCAUAAUAUAUUAAUAAUAUUUACUCUCUCUUAAUAAAUCAUCCUAUCAAGUUGCUAUGGUGAAGGCAACCCAAAAGGACCAUGCACAACCGGGUCAAAUACUUGCCUAAAAUAGUUGCAGCCUUAGACACUAAUCCAACAAUAACGGGCCCACCCGAGGACAACAUGGAGCACAAUAUACGGCUAAAAUGAUUUUUGAUACAUGUUUUUAUUGGCCAACAAUUUUUAAAGAUGUCGCUCAAUAUGUCAAGGAGUGUGAUUCAUGCCAAAGGUCGGGAAAUAUUUCAUCCUGAAAUGAGAUGCCCCAAAAUAGCAUUCAAGUUUGUGAGAUAUUUGAUAUAUGGGGGGAUUGACAUUAUGGGACCUUUCUCAAUGUCUAAGGGAAAUAAAUAUAUAUUGGUGGCAGUAGAUUAUGUAUCCAAAUGGGCGGAAGCACAAGCAUUACCUUCUAAUGAUGCUCGUGUGGUGGUACACUUCCUAAAGAAAUUGUUUUCAAGAUUUGGUGUUCCUAAGGCUCUAAUUAGUUAUCGGGGAACGCACUUUGCAAAUGAUCAAUUAGCUAAGGUGUUACAAAAAUAUGGUGUACACCAUAGGUUUUCAACAAUAGCAUCCACAAACAAGUGGGCAAACCGAAGUUACAAAUCGGGCAUUAAAACGUGUAUUGGAGCGAUCGGUUGGAGGUUAUAAAAAAUAGUGGUCAGAUAAGCUUGAUGAUGCUCUUUGGGCAUUUCAAACGGCUUUUAAAUACCUAUUGGUACUACACCAUAUAGGUUGGUCUAUGGAAAUAAUUGCCAUUUGCCGGUUGAAAUCGAGUAUAAAGCAUUUUGGGCUUUGAAAAUUCAUAAUUUUGAACUAAACGAACUUCGUGCCAAUCGAUUGAUGCAAAUGAAUGCCCUUGAAGAACAUAGAAAUGAAGCAUACACUAGUUCAUUAAUAUAUAUGGACAAGACAAAGAAAUGGAAUGACAUGAGACUAAAAGGUCAUAAAGAUUUUCAGGAAGGAAAAAAGGUGCCACUCUUCAAUUCAAGGUUAAAGCUUUUCCUAGGAAAAUUACAAACUAGGUGGGACGGGCCUUUUGUUGUUAAACAAGUUUUCCCACAUAGAGCUAUUGAGCUUAUAUCAAGAGACGGAAUCCCUUUCAAAGUUAACGGACAUAGAGUGAAACAUUAUGAAGAAGGAAUGCCAAUUGAAGAAAAAGAAGGGGAAAUCCUCACAUUCACACUAGCUGAAACAACUUGAAGCGGGAAGGAUUUCGUCUUAUGACUCCCCAAAAAGAAGCACUUGACACUACGCAACAAACUGAGUCGGACUCGACUGAAUUCUGGAAUAUUUGGGGCACCAACUAAUGUAUGAAGCUGCUAGGCGUGACUCCUCACUUAACGAUGCAAACAAACAUUCUAAAAAUUUCUAAAAGAUCACUUCUCUCGUCGUUUCUAAUCAAUCUCUAUAAAGUAUCUCCUUUUUUCAAUAAUACCCUCUCUUGGACUCUACCAAUUACACAUGGAAAUCUAAAGCAAAGAUUCGUAAUGAAAGUGGGAAGCAUUGUUAAACAACCAAAACAAAGAGAAAUAACUAUCCAACAACCAAACCACACAAACCAAACACACAAAAAUAAAAGACAUAAAACAAACAAAGUCUUGAAUCCAACUAAAAUAAAAGGAUAGAAUGCUCGUUCUUCGUCAUUUCCAUCAUCACCUCCUCCUCCACUACCACUUGCUCCAACUUGUUGCUCUCUCUGCAGUUCCUCCUAACUCGGUAUAUAUGGAUAAACAUGAGGAAAAUGAGUAGGUCGGGUCACAUGCAUUUGCUGCAUAAGGUGGUCUAGACCCAUGUUGGUGUUUUCUUCAGGGUCCCUCCUUUAUCUUACCUGCCUCAGAACUCGGCCUCGUGGAGUAUCUCUAGGAAUAGAAAAACCACCUAUCCCAUGAUCAACAAUGAUAUUUCCCCUCUUAUAAAGUAUUUUAGAGAAAGGUUUAUCGGGAUCCACAGUUAAAAAGACGACCUCACGCUUAUCAAGUACUCCUUAAGAACAUGCAAUUCGUGUGAUCAACAUACCCAUAUAAAGAAGAGAACCUCGUCUAUCCUUCCCUGCUCAGGACAAAAGAAAAUCCGCCAAUAAGAACACUAAGUCCACAUAAACAUAGGGUGUGAUAAGAGCCCAUAUGAAAAACACGCCAAUCGUCAGACACUUGUCCCCCUCCUAUCGCUGAUUAAUGGUGUUUAUGAUUAGCCAGUGCAAAAGACAAUGAAGAGGAGAGCGAAUGUCACUUUCUUGUGUAGUCCCCUUAUCGUAAGCACCAUUAACUAUUUCAUUCCAGUGUGUUUCAACCUUGAACCCCUCGGUAACACGAAUACCUCCAGCAAUAUAUUGUUGAUAAGCUUUGGAAUGGACCUCAGAUGGAAGAUAAAUUUGUGUCCUCAGCGCAAAAUUAGCAUGUCUUAAAGUACGACUUUCUCCACCAAGUCAAAAAUAAAGGUUGUCUUUAACAAAUAUUUCGUCCUUCCGUGCAAAAGAACUGUGUUCAGAAACUCGAUGACUAACUCCUUAUACACGACUUCCUGAAUUUCAAACAGCCUUGUCCAUCCCAUACAAACAAACGACCCUAGAAUGCUAUUGUAUGCUUUGUCCAAGUAUGGCUCAAUUCCCUCCAUUAACCCGGUUUGUCCCAUCCAAUGCCAAUCUACAACUGCAGGAACGUGGACUUUUCGUUGCUUCAUCCAAUCGAGUUUUGUAUUCUAUCUUGCGUAAAUCUUGGGCCCAACAGUCCUAGGAAAAGAAUACCAUGGAAAUUUGGGCCGUCUCUCGGGUUGUUGGCGUCGUGGAUGGCUAGCCAUUUCUGCAAAAUAGCCAAAAAGAACACAAGAGGAAACCAUCUGUAUGCAAAGAAUCAGAACAAAACAGGUUGUAUCAAAAAAUCUCACCACGACGUGUCGUCGUGGUCUACGUCCAGUCGAGUUCCAUGGUUUAAUCGGACCAUAUGCAACACCAUAUCAACUCAAUGCAACUUCAGGGUUUGUUCCAGGCAUGAAUUUAAGUAGAAAACUAACAAAAUCAAAUGAAAAACGUCAUUAAUUGGGUCCGAUUUUUGAAAAAAUCAAAACCCUAGGUUCCUAAUUUCGGGCCUACAAGUGCUCUAAUAGCAAAUGUAUACCCUUUACUAGCAUAAGAAGUGAUUAAGAGUAAUAGAAUCACACAAAAAUCAUAGCUUUUGUUUGAAAAGUGCAAGAAGUCGAGUAAAAGGCAAGGAUGUUCUUCGUGGGAGAUGGAACACGUCGACAGAGAGGCAGAGUAAAAGGUAACAAUGAUUUUAACUGGGGUUUAAAAACCCUAAUUUUACUACAGUUAAACCGACACCACGUCAUGGUGAAUUCACCACGUCGUGGUACUGCCUUGAGAAAUCUGUUAGCGGGUUUUGUCAAUUUACCACCUCGUGGUGAUGUUUUUUAGAAAUGUUCCAACUUAGUCAAAAUUUUAUAAAAAUCUACCACCCCACACUCAUUUUAUUCCAUUCCCCAUGUUGAAUUCCAUAAAAAUUCAGAAGAAUGAGAGUAUAAAUCAUUAAGUAAAAAGACCACCACGCCGUGGUAAUAUCCUCCACGUCGUCGUGUGUGUUGGGUAUUAUGUGUUGCGUCAUGGGCCAUUCUUUUGUAUAUCCGGUAUUGGGCCUGUCCAACCGUGAUUCUAGAUUAGGGUUACGUAUUAUAUAUAGUGCAUGCAUGUAUGCCUUAGUAUGCUAGUCAUUGAUUAUCUUUUGCAUUGUAACCCUAAACACCUCUACAGUCGAAGUUCUUCAUCGAGCUCUUCUGAGGUGUUAAAGUUUAAUCAUUCGACAUCAUUCAAAUUAUUCUUGUGUUCUUUAUUGUUUCAUUUAUUGUUUUUCUGCUUGAAUCUAUCGAUUAUUAAGGAAUAUUAUUCCAACAAUUGGUAUCAGAGCAGGAGAAUGUGUUACUCGUAUGCAUUCCUUCUAUGUGAAGAAUUCUUUAGGGUUUCCGCUUUUAUCAACUAUAAAAGGACCUUUACUUUAAGUUGACAACCUGGUCUAGUGUUUGAUAAAAACCCUAAUCUUUAGUUUACAAGUCUGAUUCUAGCAGAUCCGAAAAACAAGCUGAUCAUGUCACACGACGACUCUCAAGCUAAUCCCAUUAACAUCUCAAAUAGCAUUGGAUCCACUACAAGGGUUCCUAUUCUCUACACUCAAGACUACAAAGUAUGGGCGCAUCACUUUGAAGAUUAGAUGAUUGGAUCUGAAUAUAAUGGCUAUCUCAUCUGGGAAGCCAUUACGAUCGGUCCAUUCAUCCAUUCUAGAACAAACAGGGCAGUAAAGACUCAAAAGGAAUAUAAUCAGCUUUUAUUGGAAGUAGAAAAGAUACCACAAGAUGAAAAAUAUAAGCUGAUAUGUAAUCUCAAAGCUUUAAGGAUGAUCCAGUUUGCCCUGCAAGAAAACACCUUCCGUCAGGUCAGUUCAUGCUCUACUGCAAAAGAGAUAUGGGAGAGACUUAUAGAGCUGUAUUCAACCAAUGAAGAUCUAGAGCACUCAAUACAAACCUUGUUGCUCUCUGAGUUCAGUUCCUUUGCUCAAAAACCUGAGGAGACUCUUCUUUAGACGUUUGAUCGUUACAAUCAUCUACUUAGCAAGAUGAUGAAACAUGGUAUUGAAAGAAAGGAGAUUGAACAGAAAGUCACGUUUUUGAAUGGACUAAGACCUGAUUGGAUGGCAGUGGUCUCAAUUGUAAAGGCUCAUGAAUAGUUCAAGUCUUACUCACUGGCAAAACUGAUGGGCAUCCUAAAAUCCCAUGAAAGCACAGUAACAAAAGAAGCGAAGGUUGUGUCUGGCAUGGGCUCCUUAAUCCUUAUCUCGAAAGGGAAGACUGUGACAGAAGAAGAAGAUGAUUCAGAUUAUUCUGAGUGUGACCUUACAAGUGAAGAAUAUGCGAUGAUGGUCUCCAAUCCCAAGAAGUUUGCAAGAAUGAAAUUCCCUGCCAAUAAGAACCGAAACUGGCAAGGAAGCUACAACCUAGAGAAGGUGAAAGAAGAACUGAAGAACGUCAGUCAAAAGGAUGAUGAUAAGAAAGAAAGCAAGCUAGCAGGAGAUUCUGGAUAUGAUUGCAAUUAUUGUCACAACAAGAACCACUUUGCCAAGGACUGUAUGCUGAGAAAGAUGGCUGAGAAAAAGGAUGGUGAAGAUGAUGAAACCUAUUACCUGCUAAAGUUUGAUGAAAUAAAGAAAAAGAAAGCUACAAAUAGUUCAAUGAAUGCUUUAAUUGUGUGCAGGAGAAUCUGGAUGAUGAUGAGUUUGGUGUAGUUGAAGUCUGGUCAACCGACUCUGAUGAUGAAGAAGUAAGAAAGCCCUCGCAUGGUGGAGCAUAUAUGGCUAGAGAGGGAGUCAGCAGUUCGGGUGGGAAGUGCCUGAUGGUAUCUGCAGAAACACCAACCGAAGGUGAGGAUAAGGAGUCGAGUAUCAAAAGAGACAAGUGUUUUGCAGCCAAGCCCAUGAGCGAAAUGAUCAACGACUACGAUCGCUUGAUCAAAAAGGUACAAUCCAUCCUAGAAUCAUUGAAAGUUCCUGUCACUAAUUAUGAAGAAGAACUAAACAAACUAAAAUUUAAAUUUUCCAACUUAAGUGGUAGUCUCAUGCAAACCCGACUAGCAAAUUCUAACCUAACUGAUCAACUCAACAGGGAGUCUUCCAAGAGUGAGGAAAGGAGAGCAUAGAUACAGCUGAAGGAGCAAGAGUUAGCUAGGGCUAUUGAUGAGAUUAUUUAUUUGCAUAGAGACAAUUUGAAGUUUUUGAAACAACGAAAUGUUUUCUGUUUAAUUGCAAAACGCUUAUAUACUAACAUAACUCAACUUCAUCUUGAUUGUGAAAUAGGGAAAAAUAUUCAUAAGAUGAUUUUACCAUUUCUUGAAUUUAAGGAGGAUGAAGUUAUUGCUGAAUGUGAAUCAAUAAUGUCCUCUGACGAAAUUUCCGUCACUUAAAAAUAUGGAGUGGACAAAAUUGAGACCUUUAUCGACUCCAAAGAACACAAAAGUAUGCUUAAAAAUCUGUUGGAUGAAAAUGAUAAGUUGAAAACUAAGUCCAAAACCAUAUGAACAUUUGACUCGUCACAUGCCAAACUUUGUUCAGAUCAUAAAACAAAUGUCGAAAACACAUCAGAAUUCGAUGAGGAAAGUGAGUUGAGCGAAAUAUCAGUGGAAGAUGUAGUUGAUUGUUCUGAGUUCUUAAAGAGCGAAACCGAGAAAGAAGAACCCCUCAUAUUUGAAAACUCUGUGGAGUAUGCUCGCUUGACGAAUGACAAAUCCAAGAAACUCAAAGAGAAAGCAGUGAUUUACCAAAAUGUUUAAACCAUGCCAAAUCAGGUUUAUGUAGUCAUAGGAGUCAAAACAAACAGCAAAACUAAAAAUCUUGGUUGAUAAAGACAAUGCUGAAGGAUGUGAUAACUAUUUCUGGUCCGCUCCUAUUGAUAAUGCAGACGAGACCGUUGGUUUGUAAGAGCAAACCUCAUGGAGGGUAAAGGGCAGAUAUGUAGCAUAACCAAUCAACAAACCCUCAAGCUUUGACAAACCAAGCACAAGUGGAACCAAAGAGAUACCGGAAGAACCGGGAAAGAAACCAGAAGAAUCAAAGAAAACUUUGAAUUUCUCUCCUAAUUCAACCGAAGCUCAAAAGGAGAAGCAGAAGUCAAGCAUGAACAUUCAUAAAUCUCAACAGCAAUUGGCUGAACAGAAACGGGAAAGAAACCGGAGAUACAUGAAAAAUCUGAGUGAUCGAAAAAGGUUUUGGUAGUCUCAGAACCCUAACCACAUCCCUACUCAGAAAGAAACAAAUGUCAAAGGAAGUGACAAGUUCAAAAACAAACAGUCGUCUAGUUUCGGUCCGAACUCUUACUAUUCACGAAACAAUAAGCCCAGUUUCUGUACCCAUUCAAUUCAGAACCGAACUUCAGGUUUCUGUUCCUCUACCAAGAAUGAGUAUCGAAAGUUAGGUUUCGGUUAUACUCCAAGUCGUCAACAGACUCAUUCAACGAAGGAUGUUAAAAGAAAGGGAAAGCUUGACUCGAACACUAGCAUAAAUAAUACGAAAAAGUCUGACAAACCCACAACUCAAAAGAACAUUUCAAAACCAUCUAGCAUUACAUCAUCUGAAACUCUAAAAUUUAAACAAGACAAAAAUAAAAUUAAAGUGUACACCAUCAAAAGAAAAGAUGAAACAACUUUAAUAAAAAUAACAUAUUUAGUUGAUCUUUAUGUUCUUAUUCCCUUCUUUGUAAAAGACUUACCUGGGUCUUAAGAAACUUUGGGUUCCUAAAUCUACUUGAAUUUGCAGGUUAUCAGUGACGAGCAGUUCGAUGAUGAGUGAUAUAUUGACAGUGGCUGCUCAUGUCACAUGACAGGGAGAAAGGAAGAAUUGAGGGAGUUUCAGUCCCUUAAGGAUGGUGGAUGUGUGAAGUAUGGAAACAACUCUUAUGGUACAAUCAAAGGUUAUGGGAUGAUAACCAAUGGAGAUUUCACAAUUCGAAAAGUGGCAUAUGUUGAAGGAUUGCAGCACAACCUCAUAAGUGUAUCUCAGUUGGUUGUGGGAACAGGACUGAAAGUUUCCUUUGAUGAUGAAGGCUCAUAAAUUAUUGAAAAGCAAUCAAAAAGAGUCUUGUUAAAAUCUGAACGAAAGGGUGAAAUGUACCACCUUAAUCUCGGUCCAAUUAAAGGGAAACCAGCUAUAUGCCUACUGUCCAAAGUUAAUUCUAAUGAAAAAUGGUUAUGGCAACGACGGUUAUCACACAUAAACUUUAAAGACAUUAAUAAGUUAGUGCUUGGAGAUCAUGUUCGAGGCCUCCCUUUGCUCAAAUUUGAUAAGGAACACCUAUGUGCAGCUUGUGAGAAGGGAAAACAAAGCCGAAAGAUCCAUCCUACACGUAUCAACACCAGGAUCAUUGAAGCUCUUGAACUUCUACAUAUUGAGUUAUGUGGACAUUCGACUAUCGAAAGCAUUAGUGGUAGUAAGUUCAUACUUGUCAUUGUCGAUGAUUUUUCUCAUUUCACCUGGGUUUACUUUCUUAAACAGAAAUCAGAAGCAACACCCAAGUUAAAGAUGUUUAUCAAGCAACUGGAACCGCAGCUACGAAAAGUGGUAAGAAACAUCGGAAGCGACAAUCGGCUUGAAUUCAAGAAUAAAGAGUUUGAAGACUUUCUGGUCGAUAAGGGAGUAUCUCAUAACUUCUCUGCCCCCUAUACUCCACAACAGAAUGGAAUCGUUGAAAGACGGAACCAUUCCCUAUGUGAAGCAGCCAGAACCAUGCUGAGCUUCGCUUCCCUCCCAUUAUACUUCUGGGCGGAUGUUGUUGCCACUGCUUGUUAUACUCAAAACAGAUCCUUACUUAACAAGCGAUUCUCAAUCACUCUGUAUGAGAUUCUAAACAACUGAAAGCCCAACGUCAAAUUCUUUCAUGUGUUUGGUUCAAGGUGCUUCAUUCUUAACUCUAAAGAGAACCACAACAAGUUCGAUGUUAAAGUAGAUGAGGGAAUCUUUCUGGGCUUUUCACUCACUUCAAAGGCUUAUAGGGUUUUGAAUAAACACUCCAAACAUACUGAAGAAACCUAUUACGUAAUGUAACAUCCAUAAAUUUUACACCAAAUUUAAACUUUUUCAAUCAUAAAUAAAAAAUGAAAAGCAUCAUUUACAAAAUGUUUUCAAAUCAUUUUCCAUCAGAGUGUCCCAAAAAUCAUGACAUAAGGAUGAGAAGCAGCACGGUCAUGCCUUCGCCUUUCCAUGGUCUCCCGAAGUACCUAAAACAAUAAACUGAAAACUGUAAGCCCGAGGGCUUAGUGAGCUACCCCCAAAAUACCAAUACCACACUGACAAUACCAUAUCGGUAAUAAUCAAUAAAUCAUCAUGAAUACUGGGCCAUCGGCCUGACUGGACCGCCCUACCGAGCCUAAAGUCUGUAUGAAUCUAUCCCGAGCCUUUGGCAUGACUGGUCCGCCACGUGGGCCUACUGUCUCCCCAGACCGCUCAUAGGGUUUGUUGGCCUUCAGCAAAAAGCAGGACCGCCUCAACCCAGCCAACCAGCAAAUAACCAUGUGCGCAUAACUAUCAUAUACUAUCAUAUACAAACAUCAAGCAUAUCUAUCUCACUGAUCAUAAUCAUAGAAUUCUCUGUAACUAGAGUAGCGACCCAUCAGGUCACUCUAACAAACCAAUCCCUACGGAUCAUAAAACCAUAACAUAUUGUCUACCUCGAUUCCGAACAAACAAAUCAUAACCACAUGCAACAUACCAUAAAAAUAACAACUAAAGGGCCGGCCUUGGUGCCGUAGCCCCUAUCGAUAUAGUGAGAAUAACUCACCUUGCAGAUGUCGACACGAAAGGUAAACUCCAACUCUCGGAUCACUUGACAUAGGUUCCACCACCUAUCAUCAUAGUACAUCAUACUCAUAAGUCCUUAACCUUACAAGGUACUCCAUAAACCACUAGUCAACCCCUGGUCAAAGUCAAAGUCCUCAAUCAAUGUCAACAGUCCAUGUUGACCUUAACUCGCUGUGUACCCUUGCCUACUCACCGAGUUCCCUGAAGUACAUUCUAACUCGUCGAGUUCCUUUGAUCCUCGAUCAAACUUAAGGUCAUGCAUCGAGUUCCCUCCUUCCAACUCGAAAGAUACACACGCAUACAUAAUCUAGGGAAAACUCAUCCGACUCGCCGAGUUGUUCUUCAACUCAUGGAGUCUUAUGGUGAUCUUCAUCGGGCUUGCCGAGUUUUUCAUCCAACUCGUCGAGUUCAUGGUCAUCUUCAUUUGACUUGCCGAGUCAACCUUGUGACUCGUCGAGUCCAUUCAGUUCCUUUUCCAUAUAGACUUGAUUUGAGCCAUGCAGCGGCCCCAAAUCAUAGAUCCAAGCUUCUAGGGCAUACUUAUCACGUAAAGUUGCAAACUUUACGUGCAUGCAUGGCUAUAAAGGCUCUAAAUGUCUAUUUUAAGUUCUUAAUGAAGCUUCCAAUCUAAGAGGGACCUCAAUCACAACCAAUACAACAACUUUAUGAUUCUAGCAUCUAAGGAGGGUCCAGAUCUGAAGUUACAACCUCAGAUCUAGCCCCUAGAUCAUCCUUUCAACUUAAUACUUCACCAAAAACCCUAAAACUCAACAAUGGAAGAGAUUCACAAGAAGAAGGGUGAUUUGGUUAUCUCCAGAAGAUGAUGACAUAGAUAAGAGCUGAUUUCCACACUCCACUUGCUCUAAUACCCUUCUCCUCUAAGCCUUCUCUCUCCAAAAUCCUUUUUUCAAGCUUUAAACACACAAUGGCACACACACGCGCGCGUAUUGGGUUUUAAAGGCUCUCAAAAGACUGCAAAGAGGCCAAAGGAGGCUGAGGCUCCUUUAAAUAGAGGUGCAAACCCCGAGAUUUAGGGUUCCAUCUGCCAGCUCCUACUCGCAGAGUCAAGUUCAAGUGGGGGUGAGUUGUAACGCCCCGAUUCUCAGGUAUUAAUUUCAUAAGAAUUAUUGGAUGAGGCCCUACUCGACGAGUCGGUCGACCUACUCGUCGAGUAGCAGCGGGGUGGGACUGUGUGUUAAGUGACCUACUCGNNNNNNNNNNNNNNNNNNNNNNNNNNNNNNCCCGCUGCUACUCGACGAGUAGGUCGACCGACUCGUCGAGUAGGGCCUCAUCCAAUAAUUCUUAUGAAAUUAAUACCUGAGAAUCGGGGCGUUACAACUCUCCCCCACUUGAACUUGACUUCGCCCUCGAAGUCCACUGGAAUAAACAAUGUCGGGUAAUGCUCGCGCAUCUCCGACUCCGGUUCCCCAGUCCACUCGGAUCCUUUCCGAUGUUCCCAUUGUACCUUUACCAAAGGUAUUUCCUUGUUCCGUAGAAUCUUCUUCUUCCUUUCCAAAAUCGCCACAGGCCUUUCUACAUAAUUCAGUCGCUCAUCGACCUGAAUGUCAUCCAACGAUAGCACUGCGUCCUGGUCCAUAAUGCAUUUUCGCAAUUGCGAAACAUGAAAUGUGUUGUGGAUCCGGCUAAGCUCCUCCGGAAGCUCUAGCCUAUAAGCCACCAUGCCAACCCUAGCGAUAAUCCUGAAUGGCCCAAUGUAACGGGGACCCAAUUUUCCCCUCUUCCUGAAGCGGAUCACACCCUUCCAAGGUGAGACCUUCAGAAGAACCAUGUCACCCACUUGAAAUUCCAACUCAGACCGGCGUCGGUCGGCAUAGCUUUUCUGCCGGCUCUGAGCAGUAUGCAAUCGCUGUCUAAUCUACUAUAUCAUUUCGGUAGCUUGCAGAACUACCUCUGUCCGACCCAUCACUUUGUGCCCAACCUCGCCCCAACAGACUGGGGUCCUACACUUCUGCCCAUACAACAGCUCGAAAGGCAGGGCGCCAAUACUGGAAUGAUAGUUGUUGUUGUAGGCGAACUCUGCAAGCGGUAGGUGGGAGUCCCAACUCCCACCGAAAUCAAUAACGCACGCCCUCAACAUAUCCUCGAGGGUCUGAAUGGUCCGCUCACUCUGCCCAUCAGUCUGCGGAUGGAACGCCGUACUAAAAUGCAGUCGUGUACCUAGUUCCUCAUGGAACUUCUUCCAAAAACGGGAAGUAAACCUGACAUCUCGAUCGAAAACGAUAGAAACUGGAACCCCAUGGCGAGAGACAAUCUCCCUGACGUACAGGUCGGCCAACAUUUCUGUCGACGAACUUACCCUUAUGGCUAGGAAAUGGGCACUCUUGGUCAAUCGAUCCACGAUGACCCAUAUAGCAUCGAACCCCCUUGCGUCUUUAGCAACUUCAUGAUGAAAUCCAUCGUGAUCCGUUCACAUUUCCACAUGGGAAUCUCUAGAGGCUGCAACUUACCAUGCGGCCUCUGAUGCUCGGCCUUGACCAUCCUACAGGUCAAGCAUCUAUUAACGAACCAAGCGAUAUCUCGCUUCAUGCCAGGCCACCAAUAACUCAAACUCAAAUCAAGGUACAUCUUGGUGGCCCCCGGAUGAAUCGAAAAACGAGACUUAUGAGCCUCCUCCAUCACUGUCUGGCGGACCCCUCCGGACAUCGGAACCCAAAACCGACCGUAACGGGUCAACAAUCCGCGGCUAUCAUGAACAAACCUGUCGUUUUCACUCUUAAUCCUCUCCAACUUUCGGUUCUCUGGUCUCAUGCCCUCAAUCUGAGCAUCCUUGAUCAAACCCACCAGUGGGGAAUCCCCCGCUAUCCUCAUACACCUGGUUGGGGUCGUGGACCCAGCUAACUUGCGGCUCAGAGCAUCCGCAACCACAUUCGCUUUACCAGGAUGGUAAAGGAUCUCCCAAUCAUAGUCCUUGACCACAUCUAGCCACCUGCGCUGCCUCAUGUUCUGAUUCGGCUGAUCCAUGAUGUGUCUCAAACUCUUGUGAUCCGUGUACAUAGUGCAACGGACUCCGUACAGAUAGUACCUCCAAAUCUUGAGAGCGAAAACCACUGCACCCAACUCAAGAUCGUGCGUGGGGUACCUCGUCUUAUGCGGCUUCAGCUGCCGCGAUGCGUAAGCCACCACCCGUCCUCUAUGCAUGAGGACUGCCCCCAAGCCAGUGAUGGAUGCAUCACAAAAUACCACAAAAUCCUCCACUCCCUCGGGGAGUGUCAACACUGGCCCCUCGCAUAAACACUGCUAGAGGGUCUCAAACGCCCUCUGGUGCUCAGGGCCCCACCAGAAAUCCACUCCCUUCCUCGUUAGACGAGUGAGGGGUACAAAAAUCUUAGAGAAAUCACGAAUGAAUCUACGAUAGUACCCCGCUAAACCCAAGAAACUCCUGAUAUCAGAGGGAGAUUUCGGGGUCUCCCACUGCAUAACCGCCUCCACCUUGGCCGGAUCGACCAGAAUCCCCUCCUGGAUAACAAGGUGUCCGAGGAACUGGAUCUCCCGUAACCAAAACUCGCAUUUUGAGAACUUGGCAUACAACCGUUCUCGCCUCAGAAUUUCCAGCAGCUCCCUGAGAUGCUCCUCAUGCUGCUCUCGAGUCUUGGAGUACACCAAGAUAUCAUCUAUAAACACAAUGAACGAGCGAUCCAACAUCGGUCUACAUGCUCGGUUCAUCAGAUCCAUGAACACUGUUGGCGCGUUGGUGAGUCCAAACGGCAUCACCACGAACUUGUAAUGACCAUAACGAGUCCGAAAUGCGGUCUUCUCCACAUCUUCCUCCCUCACCCUGACCUGGUGAUAUCCUGAUCUCAAAUCAAUCUUGGAAAACCAAGAUGCACCCUGCAGCUGAUCGAAAAGACCGUCUAUCCUCGGAAGCGGAUAACGGUUCUUCACCGUUAACUUGUUCAGCUCCCUAUAGUCAAUGCACAUCCUGUGCGAGCCGUCCUUCUUCCUGAAGAAAAGGAUCGGUGUUUCCCAGGGUGAACUACUCGGACGAAUAAACUGCUUACCCAGCAGUUACUGCAACUAAGAUGACAACUCCUGCAUCUCUGGCAGUGCCAGUCGGUACGGCGCCUUAGUGAUAGGGGCCGCACCUGGCACUAGGUCAAUCCUAAACUCAAACUGCCUCUCCGGAGGCACUCCGGGUAACCCCUCUAGAAACACAUCAGCAAACUCCCUCACCACGGGAACCUCAGAAACUGAGAGCGGCUCUCUAACCCGCGUAUCUAUGACAUACACCAAAUAACUGGCGCACCCGUGCUGAAUAUACUGUCGAGCCCUGGCUUUCGAACAAAACCUUGAUCCUAACCUGGUUCCCUCACCAUAUACUACACGUUCUCCCCCACUUGGGGUUCGAACCACCACGCACUGCCCCUCAUAAUCGAUCAUGGCGCCAAAACGGCUAAGCCAAUCCAUCCCUAUAAUCACGCCUACAUCCCUCAUGGGAAUGGGAAUCAAAUCUAUCGGGAAGAGCACCCCGAAAAUCUCCAACUCGCAUCCCCAGAAGACCGAAGAAGCAGAGACCCCGUGUUCGUUGGCGAUCGAAACUCGCUACAGACACUCAAGAUCGUCUAUCGGCACACUGAACCCUCUAGAGAAGGUCUAAGAUACAAACGAUCGACUCGCCCUGGAGUCAAAUAAUACCAAAGCAGGCAAAGAAUUCACUAAAAACAUACCUAAUCACAGGUACAAUCAAUAAGCAUAACACGAAUACAAUAACUGAGACAAAGAAUAGAAAACGUACCAGCAACCAGAUCCGAUGCUGACUUGGCCUCCUCGGCCGUGAGCUGGAAGGCGCGACCCUGAGCCUUCGGAGGCUCCACCUUGACUGGCCUCCCAUCUCCAAUCCUCCCAGCAGCUGGCGCGGAACCCUGCGCCGGCUUGGCGGCGAGAUGCGGACAGUUGGUCUUCACAUGACCAACCUGAUGACAAUGGUAACAAAUCCUCAUAUCUGUUGGAGGGGCGGGCAGACAGCAGUCCCUGGCAUAGUGCCCCUCCUUGCCACAUUUGUGGCACCCACCUCCUGCUCGACAAACCCCCGAAUGAGCCUUGCCACAAUUUCCACAAGUGCGGCUCUGAUGACCCCCGGACCGUGUAUCAGCGGUUUUACACCGCUAAGGUGCCGGCUGAGACUGUGUCGGUGCCUGACACUGCUCCUUCAGCUGCAGCUCUAUCUCCAACUUGCGUCGCUGCAUGGCUUCCUGAAGGUCUAGGAGGGUAUCACAUUGCUGAGUAGACACAAACUGUCGAAUAUCAGUCUUGAGCAUACUCAGAUAAUGAGUCAUCUGAGACUGCUCUGAAGCAAACUUCGAGCAAAACAUAGCCCUCUCCAUGAACAUAUGGGUAAUCUCCAUCACAGACUCCCCAUCCUGUCUCAAUGUCAAAAACUCCUACGCAAGCCACUCCCGCUGAACGCAUGUAACUUUGCGGGUGCUGAACAUAUCUCUGAACUGCUCCCAAGUAACGGCACCCCGCUGAUCAUCAGUAUACGACCCAGUCGUCAGCCUCCACCAGGCCUUUGCCCCAAGCCUUAGCAGGUUCAAGGCACACCUGACCUUUUGGUCAGCAGGACAUGAGCAUGUGAAGAAACAGCCCUCCAUGUCAGAUAACCAUCUCAUAGCCCUAAUCGCAUCCUGUGUACCAUCAAACGUCGGGGGCUUCAUAUUAUCGAAGUCCUGGUACUGGAAAGCCCUGCCGGCUCCUCCUCCAACCCCUGUCGCGGUUACAGCUAAAGUGGUUGCAAUGGCAGCUGUCUCUGCUAGAGCUGCAUAUCGCUCAUCAAAAUACUCAACCAUCGCAGUCUUAAUCGACCCAAACACCUCUGGCAGCUGCGCUCAGAACGCGACAACAAUCUCGUCGUGCAUGAUCUCCUUGAUCCUGGCAUCCAACUCAUCGGUCCCUAUAUGAACCACGGGUUCAGGUGCUACCGGCACCUCCAACCCUCCGUCUCCCGACCGCGAUCCUGAUCCAAAUCCCGAAGCAACACGUCUCGUCACCACCAUACUGGAAUAUAUACAUACAAUUCAUCAGAUAAAUAACAUAAUGUCGGGGGACCAAAACCCUAAGGGUUGUGAUUUCCUUGCUACGUGUAUGGGUCCUGCGCUUUCAGUAGUACGGGCCCAUACUACCUUCCACACCUACCCAUAUUUGUCUCACGUAUCAUCACAACGCCCUAAUAGUAUCAUCAACAUAGGAAUGCGCCCGACCCUCACUUCUAGGGGAAUACCAAAUAUCUCGCAUCUAGCCUCACCACUUAUCACAACUCUCACAUCCAUGAAAUUUCCAUCAUCCCCUGCAGCGACGGUGUACGCUAGCUGCACGUAAUGCUGGACCCCAUAGACUUUCGAAUAUCUAAUCCUACACUAAGGUCGAAUCAGACAUUCUCAGGCUAUAAGAUCUUGAUUAUACACAGUCGUGAUGCAUACACCAAACAUCUACAAGAAACCCUAGGCUAAUAGGCAUCAUAUAAUCAGGAAAGGCUAUCAUGCGAUUCCUGAAGAUCCCUAGCCUAGCACUAGCAUGUUUUUCUAACAUAUCAGAAUAUCAAAUAACCGUAUGUUAUGUUGGGGUUCACUUAUAGGCUCUGGCUGAUCGUACCCUCUGCAUCCUCCAUCCUUAUUUUGAAAACCAUUUUAAAACUUAUGUUCCGAAAAUCUCCUUGAUUUGAGACUGGAUUCACACGAGUGUUCCUCCAAUUCACUCAAACCAAGGCUCUGAUACCAACUUGUAAGAUCCAUAAAUUUUACACCAAAUUUAAACUUUUUCAAUCAUAAAUAAAAACUAUAAAGCAUCGUUUACAAAACGUUUUCAAAUCAUUUUCCAUUAGAGUGUACCAAAAAUCAUGACAUAAGGAUGAGGAGUGGUACGGUCACGCCUUCGCCUUUCCAUGGUCUCCUGAAGUACCUGAAACAAUAAACUGAAAACUGUAAGCCCGAGCGCAUAGUGAGCUACCCCCAAAAUACCAAUACCAUACUGACAAUACCAUAUCGGUAAUAAUCAAUCAAUCAUCAUGUAUACUGGGCCAUCGGCCUGACUGGACCACCCUACCGGACCUAUAGUCUGUCUGAAUCUAUCCCGACCCUUGGGCAUGACUGGUCUGCCAUGUGGGCCUACAGUCUCCCCGGACCGCUCAUAGGGUAUUUUGGCCUUCAGCACAAAGCAGGACCGCCUCAACCCAACCAACAAGCAAAUAACCAUGUGCGCAUAACUAUCACAUACUGGCAUAUACAAACAUCAAGCAUAUCUAUCUCACUGAUCAUAAACAUAGAAUUCUCCUGUAACUAGAGGACCGACCCAUCAGGUCACUAAUAAACCAAUCCCUACGGAUCAUAAAAGCAUAACAUACUGUCUACCUCGAUUCCGAACUAACAAAUCAUAACCACAUGCAACAUACCAUAACAAUAACAACUAAAGGGCCGGCCUUGGUGCCGUAGACCCUAUCGAUAUACUGACGAUAACUCACCUUGCAGAUGUCAACACGAAAGGUAAACUCCAACUCUCGGAUCACUUGACACAGGUUCCACCACCUAUCAUCAUAGUACAUCAUACUCAUAAGUCCUUAACCUUACAAGGUACUCCAUAAACCACUAUUCAACCCCUGGUCAAAGUCAAUCACAACCAAAACAACAACUUUAUGAUUCUAGCAUCCAAGGAGGGUCCAGAUCUGAAGUUACAACCUCAGAUCUAGCACCUAGCUCAUCCUUUCAACUUAAUACUUCACCAAAAACCUUAAAACUAAACAAUGGAAGAGAUUCACAAGAAGAAGGGCGAUUUGGUUGCCUCCAGAAGAUGACGACUGAGAUAAGAGUUGAUUUCCAAACUCCACUUGCUCCAAUACCCUUCUCCUCUAAGCCUUCUCUAUCCAAAAUCCUCUUUUCAUGCUUCAAACACACAAUGGCACACACACACACACAUAUUAGGGUUUUAAAGGCUCUCAAAAGAUUGCAAGGGGGCCAAAGGAGGCUGAGGCUCCUUUAAAUAGGGGUGCAAACCCCGGGAUUUAGGGUUCUAUCUGCCAGCUCCUACUCGCCGAGUCCCAAAGUGGACUCGUUGAGUAGGUCACUUAACACGCAGUCCCACCCCGCUGCUACUCGAUGAGUAGGUCAACCGACUCGUCGAGUAGGGCCUCAUCUAAUAAUUCUUAUGAAAUUAAUACCUGAGAAUCGGGGCGUUACACGUAACCUUUGUUGACCUCUACAUAAAGAAAGCUCAAGCAAAAGAAAGUGCCACGGGGGAAAUUUUUCCCGAAUUAGGACAGGUCUCGGUUCCCAUUUCAAAUUUGUUCGAAGAAUAUAUGAGGUUAUUUGAUGAACCAGAAAAAGCUACACACUCAGAGGAAAAUGUAGCUGACAACAAAAUCGACCAUCUGAAAAAGAUUAUCAAAGAUGCUGCAAAAGACAUGGAAAAGGAUUCUUCAAACCAAGCUAAUGAUUAACCCUUCAAAGAACCUCCAAAUAACAACGAUGUAUUCGAGGGAGAGAGCUCAUCUGUGUCUCUUCCAACCGACAAAGAGAAUCUAACUCCAACCGAGGGGGAGGAUCCUGAACUUGACAAGGAACACACUUUGCCAUUUGAGGGGGAGAAUGAAAAUUCAAUGACGAAGAUGAUCGAUCAGAAUUUGAAGAAGAGGUAAAUGCAGAGUUGGAUCCUACCUAUGACCCCAACUACCCUCCUCUAACAAAGUGGACUAAAUAUCAUCCCAAAUCACAAAUAAUAGGAGAAUCAUUUGAAUGCGUUCUCACAUGUCCUCAACAGAAAGCGAAACAAAUUGUGUUAUUCUCUCACAUUGAAUUUUACAUGUUUAAUUCGUUUGUCUCUAAAAUCAAACCAAAGACGGUCAAUACUGCACUUGAUCAUUUUGAUUGGGUACAGGCAAUGCAAGAUGAACUCCAUGAGUUUGAACGCAAUCGAGUUUGGAGACUAAUACCCACUCCAAAGGAUGCGUCUGUGGUAGGAUUGAAGAGGGUCUUUAGGAACAAGAUGGAUAAAAUAUAAGACACGGACUGAAAGGCAUUUUUAUUAACCAAUGGGUCCUAUUAACUUUUUUUCUUGGAUUAAAUAUAAGACAGGGACCAGAAGGCAUUUUUAUUAACCAGGAGGCUUACAUGAAGAAUCUAUUAGAAAAAAUUGAAAUGAUGGGUUACUCGAAGGUGAAGGUUCCUAUGGCGUUUGUCACUAAGUUAACAUCAUCUCUGGAAAAGCCUGCAGUCGACAUAACUCUUUAUCGACAGAUGAUUGGAUCGCUCAUGUAUCUAACUUCUAGUAGACCAGAUAUUAUGUUCUCUGUCUGUUAUUGUGCCAGGUUUCAAGCUAAUCCAAGAGAACCUCACAUGGUGGCAGUGAAGAAUAUUUUUCGCUAUUUGAAGCGAAAUUCGUCGCUCGGUCUCUGGAAUCCAGCAAAAUCAGGUUUAUUUGCUCAAGCCUUUUCUGAUGCUGAUCUGGGUGGAUGCGGUCUGAACCGAAAGAGCACAAUUGGUGGAUGCCAAUUUCUUGAUGGAAAACUUGUUAGCUGGCAGUCCAGAAAGCAAACCUGUGUGUCUCUCUCAACAGCCGAAGCUGAAUAUAUUGAUGCUUACUCAUGCACCUCUCAGUUGAUCUGGAUACAUAGCCAAUUAAGAGACUAUGGACUAAGUAUGAAGAAGAUACCUCUUUAUUGUGAGCCUGAAAGUGCAAUAAGAAUAUGUCACAAUCCAGUGCAACACUCAAAGACCAAGCACAUUGCUCUGCGAUAUCAUUUUAUCAAGGACCAUGUUGAAGAGGGAAAUGUAGAAGUUCAUUUUGUUUGAUCCUCAGAUCAAGUUGCUGACAUAUUCACUAAAACCUUACCUGAAGCAAGCUUCAACAAAAUUUUACAAGGUUUGGGAAUAAUGGAAGCAGAAUCAGUACCGAAUCCACAAACCUCUUUCUAAGAAUUAAGUUAAGCGAAAUAGAGCGAACAUUCAGUCUAUUUAUGUUCCAGAUUUUUCGGGAACCAAAAUGAACCGAACGCUCGGUCUAUUUCUGCUCCAAAAUUUUCGGGAACCGAAAUGAACCGAUCGCUCGGUGUAUUUCAGCUAUGGAAUUUUAAGGAACAAUAAUGAACCGACCGCUCGGCUUAUUUCACUUCAUUUAUUUAAGGUUUGUGUUCGGCUAUAUACUUCGUAAUCUUUUUCUUAUUUAUUUUCUCUACUUUAUUUUUAAGACUUUCUUAUCUUUUUUUGUAUUAUUUUCUUUUUAAAUAAAAAAUCCAAAAAUCUUUUUCUAUUUUAUUUUAUUAUAUUAUUUUUUUUAAAAGUGUUUUUUUUGUUUCUUUUGUUUGUGUGUAUGGUUUGCUUCUUUCUGUGCAUUCUCUAGGUGUUGUGCAUUUCAUAGCUACAAAAGUUGGGGUGAGGCAGGGAUGAUUUUCUUAUCUUGAACUAGUUAAGCGUCCCUAGAAGCGUGCUGUUGCAUGUAGUCUGAAGCCUCAAUGACUAUGAGUGAAGCCUUAAUGAACUGAUUCUACCCAUCGGUUCUUCCCAAUCAGGCUGCUAAAUUCACUUCCGUUCUGAGCUACCUUUCUCCUCUCAAAUUAGUAAGGAGAGUUCUGCUUUGUCAAUAUUAUAUAGCAGAGGUGUUUUUGGUUCUUUCAACUCCCCCUCCUCUAAAAAUUUCUCCAUCACAUAUCAUUUCAUAAAUGUUACCCUUGAGACUCUCAGACAUAACCACUGAGGUCUAUGGUUACACAAACUCUAUGUUUAUGAUCUUGGAUGCGUACACCACGUGUUAAGUGAAACCCAAAAUCCAACACCUUUAUAGAGUUGAUGGUGAAUUUUAAUAUUCAAGCUUUAACUUGUUACCUAAAGAAGUCUCAUUUUAUUUUCUUGCGUGAUCUUUAUGAAAUUGUCUAACACCAAGCCAUUUCUUCCCAAAAGAUCCAGUUUAGUUUUUGUUUUUGAGAUUUCUAUUCUAAAUUCUAUUACUUCCCACCUAUCCAACGUACCUGUUCAACAGACCACAUCGGUCUCACAAGCACCUCUUCCAACGUUCGGUCUUAUGUUAAGCAUCGAAGUUCGGUUGAAGCUUAGCCACACUCUAAAGCCUAUGAUUAAAAAGAAGCUUUUCAAUGUUUCUUAAAAAAUAUUUGAUCAUAUUCUCAUGGGAAACCACACAAGCACUUCAAGUCUCUAUUGACUUUGAAGGAAGAGAUUCAUGCAUGGGAUCCUCAUCUUUAUGUCAUAUUUGACAUCACUCACAUCCCAUACACUUAUUGCUUUAUUUCUUUUUCUUUGGCACACUAAUGCAUGAGAAUCUUCAUGAUUUUCCACCUCUCUUGUAUGUGUCGCUUAUGAAUUUUCAUGAUGUUGUUGAUCGGAUAAGAAGUUCAAACGUAUUUUUGGAUAAGUUCAAAACAGGGCGCGUGAAUUUGUAACGGCUCCUAAUAUCACGCCUGCUGACGUCUAUCUGGGGAAACCAAACUGUCACAUCCCUACUUUCCAGGUGCCUUUUCAGAGAUUGUAUCAUCAUUAUAACAAGAUUUUUCUCUUUCUCCUAGGAACAGUAUAUAAAUAAUUUGUGGCACUGUUCCAUCUUAUUACCUUCCUCACAACUCUCUUAAGUAUCACAGGCAACGUUCAACUGUUCAUCUUCUUCACAAAGCUCAACAAUGGAAGAUUUUUCAUCUAUUAAGGAUCAAACUGUGUCGUCAUCCCUGCUUUCGAUCAAGCCCAACCAGAAUAUGAUCAUUCAGAUGACUCCAUUCUUGUAUUAUCAUUACAUGCUUCAAGUCGUAGAAUGUCUCAAGUAUUCCCCUCUCGUAAUCGCUCUAACUAAAGUGGAAUCCGUUCCCAUGUCAUUCUUGUCUCAAGUAUACUCCACAGUCCAUUACGACAAAAUCAAAGAGCGCAUCUACUUUCAUAUUCAUACUCACAAAGCUUCGAUUUCCAAAGGAUGAAUUUGCUCUCUUCUAGGGUUUGCAGUAGACGCCUCAGUCAUCUCCCCAGACUUCAUCACCACAACUCAAUUGUUCUAGAUGUUCUAUGAGAUGGGAUACACUGAGGUCCUUACUGUUGGGUUUUGAGCAUUCUAACACUCCUAAGUGUACAUGCAACCCUAAAUACCUUGGAUCUAUGUUUUCUCUAUUAUACAUGCAAAUAAGAACUUUCCAAGGUAUUAUCCUAAUCUAGCAUACAAAACAAUGAAUAUAACAAGAUAGAAUACAUACAUCUUUGAUGUAGAAAGUCUUCAUGAAGCUUGAGUGCCUAGUGCCCCAAGUGUGACACCUCAAAUGGUUCACACGACAUCAAUUACUUUUUGAAUAACCUUGAGAGAAAUGUAGAACACUUGAAAUCGGCUAGCCCUUCUAUAGAAUACUACUAGUGCCGAUUUUGGUCAAGAAUAAGAUGCAUAUAUAGUUAGGGUUACACCAUGUAAACCCUAAUUGACAUGGCCUUUCAUUUCCAUGAUCCAUGGGUACAAAAACACCAUGGAGCAUCCAUAGAGCAUCNCUUGAUUAUCCAUGGAGCAUUAGCCCACUAUACAAGUAUGGAUGAUUUACACAAUCAACCCAUAUAUUUAAUUAGUCUUCUUUUGAUCACUUAAUUAAUCCUAGAUUAAUUCUUCAUCAAUACUAAUUAAAUAAUCUUAUUAUUCUUAUUAUUAAUAUACUAGAACUUAUAAUAUAAUAAUAACCAUAAGUGUCUUAUUUCUCUCAUUAUAUUUUAUCCAAAUGCAUGAUGCCAUGCAACCCAAAUGGACCAUGUCGGGUCGGGUCAAGUCUUACCAAUUAUAGUUAUGGACUUAGACAUUAAUCCAACAGUCUCCCACUUGGAUAAGUCUAAAACUAUUAUUGCGUAUGACUUCAGGAACCAACUGGCAAUCGUAGCUCUCAAAAGCUUCUGUCGAACUCUGACCUUGUAGAUGAACUCUGACCUUUGUCAAUGACUUGUCCAUUAGAUAAGGGAUCAUAUAUUCCUCCAUUCUAGAUAUCAUAUGGACUGAGACAUGGAUUAUAAUCAUUCUCUCUGUCCAUUUGUUGUUUCCCGAUUUCCGAUUUAUGACGACUGACUAAUUGAACAAAUCAAAUCAGUCCUGGCCCGGCCGAGCACUUCCAUUUGUCAUCAUCAAAUCAUCGAGGGGCCCACAGAUAUCGCUUUUAUCCCGAAGGUAAAAGGAAUGGAUAAACUUCGACUCAUAUGGCUUGUUCUACUACUUGUUGAAUCAUACACAAAGGCACGUUUUAUAGCACCGAGUUACCAAAUGCGUUUUCGUGCAAUCAAUGUACUAUCAACUCAUAGUAACAACUCAUAUCUCUAGGUUUGAAGAAUAUAAGAUAUUAUCGUCUCAUGAUCACUCGUGAUAAAAUCCAUGAAGUGAUUCCAAUGAGCGCGGGUUGAAUCCAAUACUCAGAACUUAUGAGCACUCAUGAUUGUUGUAGCCUUGUCCAACACCUUAGACCUCUACAACCCAUCAUGACAGUCUUAAUUCAUAUCUACUUCCAACAUAUGACCGACUGUGGAUGGUUUGAAUAACUUAGUCAUUCCGGAAGAAUAACCCAGUUUAUUCGGGAAGUCAAAACAUGCAAAGUGAAACACAAUAAUAAUUGAAUCCAAUAUGGUAUCAACCCUUUGAACAUAAAUAAAACACCUUUUAUUUAUCACCAUAUGAUUACACAUUAUUCAUUGUAUACUGUUUCAGCUAUCAACUUUAUUCUUGAAUUUAAAACAAUAGUUGUCCCAUGCUCCAAGCAUGUACACUAUGUUUUCUUAAACACUAGUCAUGCCACACACCAAGUAUGCAUACUAUGUUUGUCUAUGAUCUUUACUUUGUGAACUAGAUCAAUUGAACAUAACUUCAAUGAUUCUCUUUUCACACUCCCAAAUCCUUACUGCAAAUGCAAGAAUUCCAAAUUCAUGCCAUUUACUGAAAUCUGUUAGAUUCUAAACUUAUAUGCAUUGAUCCUCUUGUAAUGAUUAUGCACAAAGUCAGAAAGACUUGACAACAAUCAUUACAGAGUAUUCCAAAGGAGAUCAGCUCCUUGGAAACAUCCUUCUUGCAUUAAGUUUCCUAAUCUUAAACAGAUUGAAAAUUCUAACUUUGAAACAUUUCCAGAUUCCAUUUUGACUAUCACUUCUGAACAAGAGUUGCCUCCUUACAGAUUAUGUCAAUAUGGUCCUUCCAGAAUUAUCACUAUACUUCCAACUGUCCUUGAGCAACCAAUCUUUGGUAAACCUUAGAUUGUCCUCGACAAUUGUUUAAUCCUUUUAGUCAUAUCCAGUUCUAAACCUUUUCCCUUCUUAAUGCCCCAGGCAUUUGGAAAAUUUUAGAACGGAUGAAUAUAGCACAUGUAAUCGAUCCUAUAUCCGAAGCAUAUGGGACACGAUUCAUGAUGUCUUACAUAAAGACUAAACCAGUCUUUUGCUAUAAUAUUUCCAUUUCAAUUUGCCAAGUUCUCAUAAUUCAGAUUAUGAAAAGGGAUGCCGUAAUCAUAAUCGAAUUUUAGAACGCAAAUAAUGGACCCAUAUACAGAAUUUCCUUAUGUUGAGCCAUUCCAACAUGAAAUUCAUAUAUAUCCUUGACUAAAUGAUUAAAACCUCACGAUCUAAGCUUAUAGAUUUGAGAUGAAGUAUAAUUUCCUCUCCCUUAAUUAUAGCAAAACAACUUUUUCCCAAUUGAAACUUUUGUUUUCUAUAAUUAACAUUGCUAACUUGCAAUACUUAUCAUAAUUAUCAUGCUCCCACUAACAUGAUGAUUAUUAGCAUAACACUUAUGCUCCCACUAGCUUUGACAUGUACUCAGAAAUCAGCUGGACUUCUAGAAAUCAAUACUUCAUUGACUUUCUUACCAAAGUUCAGAUUUCUGAUGCUAGAUUGUUUUGAUAAAGCUGUAUCAAAAUCAUACACCUUCCCUUAGAUAGCACACUUGUGUAUCUAAACAAUUAUGAAGAGGGAUGCCGUAAUCAUAAUGUUUAGACCUUUUUGCCACUUCUCACAAGUCCAAAUUAGUGUGCCGGUUAACCACACGCGCUCCACUAACGACUUUGAGAAUGCAAAUAUCACAAUUGCUAUCUAGCUAAAAUCUACUUAGUGAAAGUGUUUCCUCACCAUCAUUUUCAUGAAUCGGAGAGAAACCUUAUGACACUUAGAUUUAAUGGUGUAUGUGUUCUUAUCCAUGUGAAUUUUCAAGACCAUAGUCACAUUACAAGGAUAAUGGCAAAUCCAAACUCAUAUGGACUGAACUCAAUCUUAAUUUCUUGCCACCUGGCAGCUCAAGGGCCUGCCAUUGCUUCCAAGUUGUUGUGCAACAAAUUGAGAACUCUAAGAACUCAUAUGCAAAGCCAACUUUAACUGGAAUGGGCACAGAAUAUGUCAACACGAUAGGUUAUAAACCUCAAGUCGUGUGCUAGUGAAGAACUUCAGGUUUUAUUCUUGAUUAGUUCUUGAGACUUUCAAGACCUUUAAGACUCCCACUGUCCUCUUGACAUAUAAGACUUUCUUGUCAGAUAUUCAAGAGAUAGUGUGGAUUCUAAUCAAGACAAACACUUCACACAAUUGGCCUAAGUUGGUCUUUGUUUUAUCAAAAACAUCACAACAUACCAAUUUCAAAUGUACAAUAGUAGAAAACUUUUACACCUACAUUUGACAAGUGUUUUAAACCCUCUUUAAGACAUGUCACUUAAAAUACAAUCUUGUAGUAUGACUCUAAGACUUGUAUUGGAAUGAAGUAUGACUCAUCUUCUUGAUUUAACCAUUUCAACAAUUCAAGAUCCCUCUUCUUAGUCAUAAGAAUGCACUAAGAUUUCCUUAGAGAACUAAUUGUGCUAUGGUUUCUUAAUCAUUAAGAUGAUCACAAAACUGAUACUAAAGUACUCUCCCAUCUUUUCAGAUUUGAGAAACUUUUAUCUUUCUGCCUAAGUUGAUUCUUCUUAUUCGCUCUGCCUUACAUUGGAACCUUUUCCAAUGUCUCAGAAUUACACUUAAGCUUGUAA
This 38943-nucleotide long non-coding RNA is filed under the name Lactuca sativa (garden lettuce). RNAcentral describes it as "long non-coding RNA (LSAT_LNC009028)". The record is from RNAcentral. Lineage: Eukaryota; Viridiplantae; Streptophyta; Magnoliopsida; Asterales; Asteraceae.